AUGCUAACCACAAUUAGGACAAGUGAACCCAACAAGGGCACCAAGACUAAUAGUAACAUCCACUGCCAAAAGGAGAGGAAGAAGGCUUAUGGCCCACCCUACCCCCACCCCCCUGUUCCAUCAUGCAUGCAUAGCUUGCCUGCCCCCUCAAGUUGGUCCUUGAUGCAAUGUAUCCGCCCCUCCUCGCCUCCCCUCCAAGCUCCCCCGAGAUUUCAAACCCCACUCAUAAAAUUGUCUGCCCUCUCUCGCUUCCUCCGUCAUCAUGCUUGGCCUCUCCUCCCCCCAUCCCCAUCCGCAUCCCCAUCUCCGUCUCCGUCCGUCCACAGAAGCAGCGUCGCCACAGGGGAUACACGAGGCACCGCCCCCGCGCACGAUAUCUGCUUCGCCGUCAGGGGGAUCCGCGCGCCUUUGCCGGCCUCCUCCUUUCUCCCUGUGCCACCGUAA
Molecule: ribosomal RNA, 444 nt
Filed under: Triticum aestivum (bread wheat)
Lineage: Eukaryota; Viridiplantae; Streptophyta; Magnoliopsida; Poales; Poaceae
Description: partial small subunit ribosomal RNA
Source: RNAcentral